Molecule: ribosomal RNA, 497 nt
Filed under: uncultured bacterium
Lineage: Bacteria
Description: partial 16S ribosomal RNA
Rfam family: Bacterial small subunit ribosomal RNA
Source: RNAcentral
GAUGAACGCUGGCGGCGUGCCUAAUACAUGCAAGUCGAGCGAACGGACGAGAAGCUUGCUUCUCUGAUGUUAGCGGCGGACGGGUGAGUAACACGUGGAUAACCUACCUAUAAGACUGGGAUAACUUCGGGAAACCGGAGCUAAUACCGGAUGAUAUUUUGAACCGCAUGGUUCAAAAGUGAAAGACGGUCUUGCUGUCACUUAUAGAUGGUUCCGCGCUGCAUUAGCUAGUUGGUAAGGUAACGGCUUACCAAGGCAACGAUGCAUAGCCGACCUGAGGGGGUGAUAGGCCGCACUGGAACUGAGCCACGGUCCAGACUCCUGCGGGAGGCAGCAGUAGGGAAUCUUCCGCAAUGGGCGAAAGCCUGACGGAGCAACGCCGCGUGAGUGAUGACGGUCUUCGGAUCGUAAAACUCUGUUAUUAGUGAAGAACAUAUGUGUAAGUAACUGUGCACAUCUUGACGGUACCUAAUCAGAAAGCCACGGCUAACUACGUG